This 748-nucleotide ribosomal RNA is filed under the name uncultured organism. RNAcentral describes it as "bacterial SSU rRNA". It matches the Rfam family "Bacterial small subunit ribosomal RNA", at positions 571 to 1337 of the family's 1533-position model. The record is from RNAcentral.
GUAGGGGGUUUGUUAAGUUCCAAGUAAAAUCUUAAGGCUCAACUUUAAGUUCGCUUGGAAAACUAAUAAACUGGAGUCCAGCAGAGGUGCAUGGAACUUGCGGUGUAGGAGUGAAAUCCGUUGAUAUCGCAAGGAACACCAAAGGCGAAGGCAUUGCACUGGGCUGGUACUGACCCUGAGAGACGAAAGCGUGGGGAGCAAAACGGAUUAGAUACCCGUGUAGUCCACGCCGUAAACGAUGGAUACUAGAUGUUCGGGGAUUCGACCCCCUGGGUGUCACAGCUAACGCGUUAAGUAUCCCGCCUGGGAAGUACGGCCGUAAGGCUAAAACUCAAAGGAAUAGACGGGGAUCCGCACAAGCGGUGGAGCGUCUGGUUUAAUUUGAUAGUAAGCAAUGGACCUCACCAAGGUUUGACAUCCUAUGACAACCCUGGAAACAGGGCUUCCUUCGGGCAUAGUGACAGGUGCUGCAUGGUCGUCGUCAGUUCGUGCCGUGAGGUGUUCCGUUAAGUCGGGAAACGAACGAAACCCUCGUCGCAUGUUACAAAUUUCAUGCGAGACUGCCCGGGUCAACCGGGAGGAAGGCGGGGAUGACGUCAGAUCAGCAUGGCCCUUAUACCUUGGGCUACACAGGCGCUACAAUGGCCGGUACAAAGGGUUGCAAAACCGCGAGGUGAAGCUAAUCCCAUAAAGCCGGUCCAAGUUCGGAUUGGAGGCUGCAACUCGCCUCCAUGAAGUGGAAUCGCUA